AGUGAACGCUGGCGGUAGGCCUAACGCAUGCAAGUCGAACGGCAGCACAGUAAGAGCUUGCUCUUACGGGUGGCGAGUGGCGGACGGGUGAGGAAUACAUCGGAAUCUACUUUUUCGUGGGGGAUAACGUAGGGAGACUUACGCUAAUACCGCAUACGACCUACGGGUGAAAGCAGGGGAUCUUCGGACCUUGCGCGAUUGAAUGAGCCGAUGUCGGAUUAGCUAGUUGGCGGGGUAAAGGCCCACCAAGGCGACGAUCCGUAGCUGGUCUGAGAGGAUGAUAGGCCACACUGGAACUGAGACACGGUCCAGACUCCUACGGGAGGCAGCAGUGGGGAAUAUUGGACAAUGGGCGCAAGCCUGAUCCAGCCAUACCGCGUGGGUGAAGAAGGCCUUCGGGUUGUAAAGCCCUUUUGUUGGGAAAGAAAAGCAGCAGGUUAAUACCCCGCUGUUCUGACGGUACCCGAAGAAUAAGCACCGGCUAACUUCGUG
This 492-nucleotide ribosomal RNA is filed under the name uncultured bacterium. RNAcentral describes it as "partial 16S ribosomal RNA". It matches the Rfam family "Bacterial small subunit ribosomal RNA", at positions 29 to 507 of the family's 1533-position model. The record is from RNAcentral.